AUUUGAAAUCUGGCGGUCUCCAUGGCCGCCCGAGUUGUAAUCUAGAGAAGCGCCAUCCGCGUCAGCCCGCGUAAAAGUCUCUUGGAAUAGAGCGUCGCAGARGGUGAGAACCCCGUCUCCGACGCGGACUGCUGGUGUGUUGCGAUGCGCUCUCGACGAGUCGAGUUGUUUGGGAAUGCAGCUCAAAAUGGGUGGUAAAUUCCAUCUAAAGCUAAAUAUUGGCGAGAGACCGAUAGCGAACAAGUACCGUGAGGGAAAGAUGAAAAGAACUUUGGAAAGAGAGUUAAACAGUACGUGAAAUUGUUGAAAGGGAAACGCUUGAAGUCAGUCGCGUACGCUGGGGAUCAACCUUCUCUCGAGUUGGCGCACUCUCCAGCGAACGGGUCGGCAUCAAUUUUGUCUGCUGAAAAACGGCGGGAGGAAUGUGACAUCUUUGGAUGUGUUAUAGCCUCCCGUCACACGCACCAGACGGGAUUGAGGAACUCAGCACGCCGCAAGGCCGGGGCUCGCCCACGUACGUGCUUAGGAUGCCGGCAUAAUGGCUUUAAUCGACCCGUCUUGAAACACGGACCAAGGAGUCUAACAUGCUCGCGAGUGUUUGGGUGUUAAACCCGAGCGCGUAACGAAAGUGAAAGUUGAGACCUCUGUCAUGGAGUGCAUCGACGCCCAGACCAGACCUUUUGCGACGGAUCUGCGGUCAAGCGCGUAUGUUGGGACCCGAAAGAUGGUGAACUAUGCCUGAAUAGGGCGAAGCCAGAGGAAACUCUGGUGGAGGCUCGUAGCGAU
This 786-nucleotide ribosomal RNA is filed under the name Dictyonema moorei. RNAcentral describes it as "partial 28S rRNA". The record is from RNAcentral. Lineage: Eukaryota; Fungi; Basidiomycota; Agaricomycetes; Agaricales; Hygrophoraceae.